This is a long non-coding RNA of Macrobrachium nipponense, 2857 nucleotides long. RefSeq lists it as uncharacterized. Lineage: Eukaryota; Metazoa; Arthropoda; Malacostraca; Decapoda; Palaemonidae. The transcript is spliced from 5 exons. The record is from RefSeq and is a predicted model, not a curated record.
AGAAAGUUUGACAUCCAAUGAUCCAUUCCAUCCGCCAAACGCCAUUCUCUUUUAUGAGAUCGACCAGCCAAGACCCUUCCUGGCAUAAAGAUUUUUGACAGUUGACGACGGCCAUGUUUGUGUGAGACGUUAUGGGCCCUGCUGAAGGUCCUCUUCUUCUCAGGAAAAUAAGAUUGGGUUAAGGAGAUAUUGUAUUGCAUCUGUAAAUGAUGACCAUUGAUUUGAUCAGUCACGCAGUCUGGAAGAUGGCAGUGAGUGGUUACCAGUGACAGGGUCCCUCCAUGUUGUUUUGUUAAGUAACAUCUCUGCAGUUUGGAAUGUACAAAAGAGCCCAUCACGUGUAGAAGUUAAAAUGGAAAAAUGAAGGCAUGUAUCUCAUUGGUGCCAGGUCUUCCCUGUGCUAUCAUGCUAGUGGAGGCCCUGUACUAUACUGUAGUCUUCAGAAACGAUCCCCGAGUGGGUUCUAGGACAGUUUGAUACUGGACAUUUUGAUACCGGACAUUUAGAUACCGGACAUUUUGUUACCGGAUAUUUUGUGACUAGGCUUUUUCACUACCGGACAUUUCGAUACCAUUAUAUAAAGUAUAAAUCCAAAUUAUGUAUCAAAAGUAAGGAGUUAAAAGUACAAAUAAAAAAAUAUAUAGACAAAGAUUUAUUAAUUUGUAAAACACAGUACAAGUAUGAUUAAAGAAAAAGCAACAAUAUUAUCUAGUUAAAAAUUUUUAAUGUUAUGAGCAAUGCCACGAAGAUAUUGUAUUUUAUUUGGGGGGUCAUAUCGUUCCAGCAAUGUUUUUAUACGCCGAUCGGCGUCUCUGUAUUUUUUCUUUGAGGUUGCGCUGUCUCCACGAUUGAGAUGGGCAAUUCUUGUUGCACUGAGAGCCUCUUCAUGUUUUAAAGCAGUUAUAAGGGACCAAAUGUUAGGAUGCACAUUUGUCACUGACGUUCUUAGAGCAUUAUGAAAUCCUUCAACAUAGUUAUUGGUGCGUGGCAUACCAUUUUCAAUGCGUUCUUGAACAUUCCAUAAAUGAAUAGGGAAGGCUGGCUCGACUCUUCGCCUUCGUUGGCCACGACCCCUCACUCCUCCAAUAUAAUUUGUUUCGUAAUAUGCAACAAGCUCUUGCGGAAAAUCGUCGUCAUCAGUUAAUUCUUCGAAGCCGUCAAUAAUAUCGUCAAUGGGAAGGAAAGCAAGCGCGGGUAAACAUCUCACUUUUAAACUAAAAUUAUCAUCUUGGUGAUAUUGAUGUUUGGAACCUAAUGUUACAACUUGUUUGUAAACAUUUUGUGACAGGUGAGAUAGGCAACAAGAAACAUCUGAAUUAGGGAAAAUAUCUAAUAAACUAUUGAUGGCUGCUUUUUCAAAAUCCAUCAUCACAGUGGCUGAUUCGACAUUAUGCAAGAGUUCUUUUAUAGUAGUAAAUAGUCUAGCAUAAGUAUCUUGUAUCUUAUUUGGCAACAAGGCGAACAUUCUCGGAACACUAAUGCCGUUGUCUUGAAUAUGUAAAGUGUACAGUUGAUAAUAAAUAAUUGGGCUACACUUAAAAGUUCCAUCUACGGCCCAACUUUUGGCUCUUUUGAUGUCACUAAUUCCCGAGUCAGUAGCAAAUAUUAAAAUUCUUUCAGUGUCAUGUUCUCCACUGUCAAACUGUAGCCACUUCAAACCAUUUUCAAGGUAACAAUACUGAUCAGGAAUCAAAUAACCAUGCCGUACCUGAGGUAUAGGCGGUACAUUUUCUUCUAUUUGUCUCCAACGCCUGACACUACGACUCAACGAAGAUACUGAAACUAAUUCUGAAAUAGCACAUACAUUCAGAUUUUGGGUUUCUUUACAUAUUAUAGUACGAGGAGCAUCUUGUGUUGAACCAGACAUUAUUUUCAUUUGAUGAUGUGCUGAUUUUGAUUCCACUCUUGCCGCUGUAGCACUGUGAUUAUGCUCACCUACAGUCUUGACGAUUUUGUUGUCAUUAUCACCAACAUAGGUGUGUACGCGGGCUUUACACAUCCUAUUUUCGCACUGCCAAUACUGCUUUGAACCAUCCUUAUUAGUUUUGUGUUUAUCAUAUGUAUAGUUUAGAUCAUCCACUAAUUUUUUUCCAUUUUUUGUUGAAGCAAUUAGACGAGCCAUGGGUGAUACAAUAAGAAUAUCUAUACUUAUCGUUGAUAGCUGAACGUUAGUAGUUGACCCUUUGGUAGUAGACUGAGAGUGAUAAAAAACUGAGAAUAUUUAGGUUCCGACCAAUGUUUACUAUAAAUAGCAGGUGUUUGAAAAAAAAAUAAAACAACCAAUUACAAGAAAAUGUGGCAAUUAUAUCAACAACCAAUUAUAAGAAGAGUGUGGCCCUCAAAAGAAACUCUUAUCUUCGCGCACAGACAUAGUGGUAUCGAAAUGUCCGGUAGUAAAAAAUCCUAGUCACAAAAUGUCCGGUAACGAAAUGUCUGGUAUCAAAAUGCCCGGUAUCAAUAUGUCCAAUAUCAAACUGUCCGGUCACCCCCCGAGUGACCUACAGGACAAGAGUGAUCCAGACGAUACAACCAAGAUAGAGAUCAAGGGAGAAAGAAAAUGUAACUCAGGUGAUAAAGACAGAGAAAGUGUUAUACAGGUGAUAAAAGGAAGAGGAGAUGCAAACCCCAUAUUUACAGAGAGAGAAUGAAACCAGGUGAGAAGCCAGGUGACAUCAAGAGAACGAGGAGAGACAAGAGGAUCGCCGAUAACCUUUAAAACCUAAAUAUGAAGCUGGUAAUCCAGGGCUGUUUUUAAAAAAUAUUCUGGACGCCUCAACUUACACACAACACUGCUAUGCAGAGCUGAAAUUGGUUUGGUUUGGUGUCUGGAAUGGGGCUCCUAAAUUUUUCCUUGUAG